RNAcentral lists this transfer RNA (76 nucleotides) under Clostridiales bacterium. RNAcentral's name for it is "tRNA-Ala". It matches the Rfam family "tRNA". From Rfam's summary of the family: Transfer RNA (tRNA) molecules are approximately 80 nucleotides in length. The record is from RNAcentral. Lineage: Bacteria; Bacillati; Bacillota; Clostridia; Eubacteriales.
GGGGGUGUAGCUCAGCCGGGAGAGCACCUGCCUUGCAAGCAGGGGGUCAGCGGUUCGAUCCCGCUCAUCUCCACCA